CCGCCGUGAGAGAGAGAGAGAGAAGUUCUAGUUUCAAGUCAGUUCGGGUCUAAGCCCAUGAAGACCGGCAGAGGCUGGCUGCCACAGCGCAGAACGGUAGAAGCGGGUAUGUACUGAUGGGUGGAAGUCAGUGGGGUGAACAGAUAGGGCGGAUGGCGAGCCAGAAGUGAGCGAGAGGAAGAGAAGGUCAAGAAAUGGAAUAGAACAGGGACAAGUGAGUGUGGUUCAAAGCGAGGAGGUUAGACAGAUGGAGGGGCAUGUGUUGAGUCAGGAGAAACUGGAACGAAGCCGAAAGGUUGCGGGAUGAGCGAGAAAUGGACGUUCUUGGACUUGAUCUGGAAGAGCGGCGGCGACGAGUUCCGGCGGAGCCGGGGCGGGUCGAGACGUUGUCGUGGGGUCCGUAGGCGUGCUGCCGGGACUGUGUGCGAGUUGGAGGCGGAUUGGCGGGAGAUUGGGGGAGAAAGAGUCAAUGGAGGGGGGGGGGGGGGAGGGGUGGAAAGGGCGGCGCUGGCGCGUCGUAGUGCGUUCCGGCGCGUCUCCUCCCCCUCCUUACGCCUCAUCCUUCUUCUGCACCUCUUGUGGUUGCGACAGUUGCGGGAAUCGGCCUGUGGAGUCGAGGAAGUCGAGGAGAGGGUCGCGGUAGGACGGGUUGCCGAGGAGAGCGCCGGCAGUGGGGAGUUUGCGUAAUCGGAGGUGCUUGACGAGCGUGUUGCGAGCAUUGUCGUAGAGCGGGCAGGUGAGCAAGAGAUGUUCCCGAUCUUCCUCCUCGCCGCAUCCGCAGAGAGGGUCGCGUGCCGGGUCGAACUUGGCGCGGUAGGCGUUGAGAGAGGACGCGCCGGUGCGGAGGCGGCAGAGUAGGGUUGCUUGUCGCCUGCUGAGCCCGUCGUAGUACCUGAACGAGCGCGAGGCGAGCGGUGACGCGGCGAAGAGCUGGCGGCCGACGGUGGAGCGGCGCCAUUCCUCAUCCCACCGCGUGCGCGUCGCCUGCUUGUGUGCAGCCCAUAGCGCCGAGAUGCUAGCCGGUAGCUGAGCGUUGGACCAAGAGCCUGGCGAGCCGUCGUCGCUGAGUUGUGUGACGCGGGCCGACUUGGCGAGAUGGCGGGUCGCCCGGCCUCCUCGCCCUCCCUC
Molecule: unclassified non-coding RNA, 1128 nt
Filed under: Rhodotorula toruloides
Lineage: Eukaryota; Fungi; Basidiomycota; Microbotryomycetes; Sporidiobolales; Sporidiobolaceae
Source: RNAcentral